CCUUGGAGAAGCUGGCGUCAUAUUUUAUAUACACAGUCCCUGUACAGGGUUUCUGACCUGUGCACUGAAAGCUAAGCUGUGCUUUCAGAAAUCCCUGAGAACUGAAGCUAGACAACUUAAUCUUCAGAAGAAAAUAACAGCAACCUAUUUAUGUACAUAAGCCACUUUCAUACCUGCCUACUGAUAUAUGGACUUCAGAGUAUUGUGGACUAUAUUGAUUUUCCAGAAUUGUUCUUUUGUUUGUUAUUACUUUUCUCCCUUUCUCCCCCUGUUUUUUUUUUCACAACAAAUUGCUUUUAUUUUGGUAUGCAUCCACAUUUCAGCAUUUAGUGGUCCUGAACAGAAAGUGGAAAGACACAGCAAUUCAAUCCCCCCAAUUUUGGGGAUCUGCUGUGCACACUAGGUUCUUUCUUAAUCCCUGCUGAGGAACUUGAGAAGCAGCAGCAGCACCAAAACCAAGGCAUGCACCGGAUUCAAGGUUCUUUUUGUUCCAGUUGUCAGAUUCCAAACUAGACCCCAAUGUAUUGCAAGUAUGACCAAAUAAAAGCCCUGUUUAAAACUUCUUCUUUUUCUUUUCUUUUUUUUUUUUUUGAGACAGAGUUUCACUCUUGUUGCCUAGGCUGGAGUGCAAUGGCACGAUCUCAGCUCACUGC
Molecule: long non-coding RNA, 653 nt
Filed under: Homo sapiens (human)
Lineage: Eukaryota; Metazoa; Chordata; Mammalia; Primates; Hominidae
Description: HSALNT0409201
Source: RNAcentral